GAAAUGCGAUAAGUAAUGUGAAUUGCAGAAUUCAGUGAAUCAUCGAAUCUUUGAACGCACAUUGCGCCCGCCAGUAUUCUGGCGGGCAUGCCUGUUCGAGCGUCAUUUCAACCAUCAAGCCCCCGGCUUGUGUUGGGGACCUGCGGCUGCCCGCAGGCCCUGAAAAACAGUGGCGGGCUCGCUGUCACACCGAGCGUAGUAGCAUACAUUCUCGCUCAGGGCGUGCUGCGGGUUCCGGCCGUUAAACGACCUUAAUAACCCAAGGUUGACCUCGGAUCAGGUAGGAAGACCCGCUGAACUUAAGC
RNAcentral lists this unclassified non-coding RNA (305 nucleotides) under plant metagenome. RNAcentral's name for it is "partial contains 5.8S ribosomal RNA, internal transcribed spacer 2, and large subunit ribosomal RNA". The stretch from base 1 to 105 matches the Rfam family "5.8S ribosomal RNA", at positions 50 to 154 of the family's 154-position model. The record is from RNAcentral.